This 588-nucleotide long non-coding RNA is filed under the name Vigna radiata. RNAcentral's name for it is "long non-coding RNA (VRAD_LNC005731)". Lineage: Eukaryota; Viridiplantae; Streptophyta; Magnoliopsida; Fabales; Fabaceae. The record is from RNAcentral.
GGGAGAAAGACAAAACAACACCAACAAAAAAAUAAGUCCAUAAAUAGUUAGUCAAAAUUCAUCCAAGCAAACACCAAGAUUUUGGGCACAACAAAUACAGAAAAGAAGGGAAAAAUAUUGCAAGUCUGGACCCAAGAUAUUAUUACCAAAGCCACGUGCACCAUUUUUUAUUUCUAAAUCAAAUUCAACUAAAAGGAAAAAGAAAGAGCAUGUGAGAGUAUAAAUGUGAACGACAUGGUAAAAGAGAAAUGGUCAUGGAGAAGUGGGUGCUUGGCGUGAAGGAGAUGUAAUGCAACAACAACCAAGAUUAUUAUUAUUAUUAUUAUUAUUAUCUACAAAUUUGUAAAAAAUUAAAAAUAACAGUGCAAUAAUAAUGAAAUUAAUUAAAGUUUGAAUCUUUCUUACCUUUAGAGUAUACUAAAAUUUUUGGGAGAAGUGGGGCUGUGUUGGUGACACUAUUCAUUUAUUAGCAUUAUGUUAUUUUGUUGGGUUUGGAGACAGAAGGCAGAGGAAGAUGAUGCAUUUGUUAAUUUUAUGAAGAAAAAUCAGAAGAAAGAAGGACCCAUUUGGUAAGCUGCCAAACCAGAC